Long non-coding RNA from Mizuhopecten yessoensis (Yesso scallop), 2200 nucleotides. RefSeq lists it as uncharacterized. The record is from RefSeq and is a predicted model, not a curated record. NCBI's taxonomy places the organism in Eukaryota, Metazoa, Mollusca, Bivalvia, Pectinida, Pectinidae. The transcript has 3 exons.
CACACUUUAUUAUGAUAUACUUUAUUUGAUCCCUACAUGAUUUGUCCUAAACUUGGCCUGUGUGCAACAUCUAAGACAGUAAAGAAAACUGAACCCAGGGACACCAAGCUGUACUUCAAGAAGCACAUCAUUGCUGAGAAAAAGUGUGACCAGGGACCAAAAUACUGGUGUUCCUCAAUGUCCAGAGCCAAGAUCUGUGGGAAAGAGGAUUAUUGUUUGAAGAGAAACUUGAUCAACAAUUUGGUGUGAGAACAGUGAUUUUCACAAGCCGUCCCUACCAACAUCUUAUGAAUUUGCUGUGAAAAAAAGAAACAGCCAGGAAGGAUUUUCAGCACUUGCGUCCUAUCAUGUAAUUGUUUACAGUACAAGUUUAGACUCUUAGGUGAAAAGUGCUUUUUUGGAAAGUUUUAUAUUUCAAACAAUGGAAUUAGAAAAUUGUAAAAAAAAUGAGACUUAAAUAAUUAAAAGUAAACAUUCAGUUUUUCCAGAUAAAAUAUUCAAAGAAUCAUGUGGUUUUUUUUAUACGUUUUAUGUUUGUGGUUUUUUGGCGAUUGCUACACCCUGUAGGACUCCAUGUUUGUGUUUUUCUUUAAACAUGUUCAUUAUAAAUUAUCGUUUCUAUGGUAACACAUUUACUCUGUGAUCUUGCCUACAUAGAUUUCAAUCCUUCCGUUGUAAACCAAUUUACUAUUGAAUUUUGUUAAUCUGGACAUUUCAAUUUUGGUUUAAAAUAGUUUAAAUUAACAGGUUUUCCAGGGUCAAAGAUUUGAAACCUAGUUGUGUCUGUAAAGCAGGAUAUCCAGAUAAACAGUGUUCCUUACAAUGGCCAUAAUAUUUACUUAAGAGUUGACCUUGUCGGAGUUAAAAAUUGCAUUUUACUUUAUCUAGAUCUGCAGUGGCCAUUUUACUUAAGCUAGAUCUGCAGUGGCCAUUUUACUUUAGCUAGAUCUGCAGUGGCCAUUUUACUUUAUCUAGAUCUGCAGUGGCCAUCUUACUUUUUGCUUUAUCUAGAUCUGCAGUGGCCAUUUUACUUUAUCUAGAUCUGCAGUGGCCAUUUUACUUUAUCUAGAUCUGCAGUGGCCAUUUUACUUUUUGCUUUAUCUAGAUCUGCAGUGGCCAAUCUUUUCUUUCAUUAGUGACUUUUUGCCUCGGCGUCUACAGGAUCAAAAGCAUCAAGCGUGUAUGCAAUUUUAUAGAAUAUUUCUAUUUGGAACCUUUUUAGACUUAAAAAUCAAGUCCUCGAUGAAAUCCUUGUAACAAAAUCCCAGGUUGAAUAACAGUCAAUUGUGUUCCUUAACCUGUAGAGGAUGUAUCACAUUACUGAUAUCUGUAGAGAGUGCCAGGUCAGGUGUGUAAGUGGAGUGUGACUGAACACAAGCCUUGCUGGUUAGGUCGUGAGGAAGUGGUUUAUACAAUAUAACCUUGCACAUUUUGUGAUGUAUUUUUCUACAAGUUGAAAUUAAUUACAACCAGAGUAGUUGAAUUUGGAAGAAUUUUGAUGACCUCAGAAAUGUGAAAAUAUCAAUGGGAAAUUGAUACAAAUGUUAUAUAAUUGGUCUCCAAGUUAUCUUAUACUUACAAUAAUGUAUAUAUCAAUGGAUAAUUGAUCCCUAACUAACUAAGAGUUCUAAGAGGAGAUGGGGAGUUAUCUAUCUAAGUACAUACAAGUACCAUGAUAUAGGCCAGUGACGUUACAGUACUGGUCAAUGUCAAGUGGUAGAAAAGGACAUUUUAUCUGAGGAAAAGGUAGACAAAACUUCACGCCUCUUUUUAUAUGAGCUCGCACUGUAGAGCAGUAUGUCACACUUGCUGGUACUGUAGUAUUUCUGUGGCUGUAACAUGGUACGAGUACUGUCGAGGUAUGAAGGGUGAGGUAUUACACACCCUGAUCUCGUGUGGGAUCACUAGCUUUUCAUUAAACCAUAAGACCACAAAAUUUACAUCAACAUAAUUUUUAUUUAGAAGUGUAAAAAAGAAAUGUAUAUGUUGAUGAAAUGUGAAUUGCGUGAUACGGGAUCAGAUACAUUCUAUGUUGGUUUAUCACAUCAAUGUGGUACCAGUCGCCGUAAGCCGAGAAAUCCUAGAACAUUGCUGUGAACAUAGCUACACCACCCAUGCUAUUUAACAUUCCUUUAUAAAAAUAAUAUCAACUCAGUUCUGUUUAUCUAUGUGGUAUUUUUUAAUAAAAUUAACUACAGAA